This 461-nucleotide ribosomal RNA is filed under the name uncultured bacterium. RNAcentral's name for it is "bacterial SSU rRNA". It matches the Rfam family "Bacterial small subunit ribosomal RNA", at positions 340 to 786 of the family's 1533-position model. The record is from RNAcentral.
UACGGGAGGCAGCAGUGGGGAAUAUUGCACAAUGGGCGAAAGCCUGAUGCAGCUAUGCCGCGUGUAUGAAGAAGGCCUUAGGGUUGUAAAGUACUUUCAUCGGGGAGGAAAAAACAAAACUAAUAAUUUUAUUUCUUGACGUUACCCGAAAAAGAAGCACCGGCUAACUCCGUGCCAGCAGCCGCGGUAAUACGGAGGGUGCUAGCGUUAAUCAGAAUUACUGGGCGUAAAAGAGCACGUAGGUGGUUUUUUUAAGUCAGAUGUGAAAAUCCCUGGGCUUAACCUAGGAACUGCAUUUUGAAACUGAAAUACUAGAGUAUCGUAGAGGGAGGUAGAAUUCUAGGUGUAGCGGUGAAAUGCGUAGAUAUCUGGAGGAAUACCUGUGGCGAAAGCGGCCUCCUAAACGAAUACUGACACUGAGGGUGCGAAAAGCGUGGGGAGCAAAACAGGGAUUAGAUACC